Molecule: ribosomal RNA, 253 nt
Filed under: uncultured bacterium
Lineage: Bacteria
Description: partial 16S ribosomal RNA
Rfam family: Bacterial small subunit ribosomal RNA
Source: RNAcentral
CGGGUGAGUAACACGUAUGCAACCUGCCUGUCACAGCCGGAUAAUCGGGAGAAAUUCCGUCUAAUACGGCAUAAUGCAUCGACGGGACAUCCUGUUGGUGCCAAAGGUUAAUUCCGGUGGCGGAUGGGCAUGCGUCGCAUUAGUUAGUUGGCGGUGUAACGGACCACCAAGACGACGAUGCGUAGGGGUUCUGAGAGGAAGGUCCCCCACACUGGUACUGAGACACGGACCAGACUCCUACGGAAGGCAGCAG